UACAUGGGGUGCAAGCGUUACUCGGAAUCAUUGGGCGUAAAGAGCGCGUAGGCGGCUUGGUAAGUCUGGUGUGAAAGCCCCGAACUCAAUUCGGGAAGUGCAUUGGAUACUGCUAAGCUGGAGUACAGGAGAGGUGAACGGAAUUCCUGGUGUAGAGGUGAAAUUCGUAGAUAUCAGGAGGAACAACAGAAGCGAAGGCGGUUCACUGGACUGUUACUGACGCUGAGGCGCGAAAGCGUGGGGAGCAAAC
RNAcentral lists this ribosomal RNA (250 nucleotides) under uncultured bacterium. RNAcentral's name for it is "partial 16S ribosomal RNA". It matches the Rfam family "Bacterial small subunit ribosomal RNA", at positions 524 to 773 of the family's 1533-position model. The record is from RNAcentral.